AACGAACGCUGGCGGCAGGCUUAACACAUGCAAGUCGAGCGCCCCCGCAAGGGGGAGCGGCAGACGGGUGAGUAACGCGUGGGAAACUACCCUUUGGUACGGAAUAACACAGAGAAAUUUGUGCUAAUACCGUAUGUGCCCUUCGGGGGAAAGAUUUAUCGCCAUAGGAUGUGCCCGCGUAGGAUUAGCUAGUUGGUGUGAUAAUGGCGCACCAAGGCGACGAUCCUUAGCUGGUCUGAGAGGAUGAUCAGCCACACUGGGACUGAGACACGGCCCAGACUCCUACGGGAGCAACAGUGGGGAAUAUUGGACAAUGGGCGCAAGCCUGAUCCAGCCAAUGCCGCGUGAGUGAUGAAGGCCUUAGGGUUGUAAAGCUCUUUCACCCACGACGAUAAUGACGGUACCCGGAGAAGAAGCCCCGGCUAACUUCGUG
Molecule: ribosomal RNA, 433 nt
Filed under: uncultured bacterium
Lineage: Bacteria
Description: bacterial SSU rRNA
Rfam family: Bacterial small subunit ribosomal RNA
Source: RNAcentral